This 582-nucleotide ribosomal RNA is filed under the name uncultured Variovorax sp. RNAcentral's name for it is "bacterial SSU rRNA". It matches the Rfam family "Bacterial small subunit ribosomal RNA", at positions 102 to 680 of the family's 1533-position model. Lineage: Bacteria; Pseudomonadati; Pseudomonadota; Betaproteobacteria; Burkholderiales; Comamonadaceae. The record is from RNAcentral.
ACGGGUGAGUAACACAUCGGAACGUGCCCAAUCGUGGGGGAUAGCGCAGCGAAAGCUGUGCUAAUACCGCAUACGAUCUACGGAUGAAAGCAGGGGAUCGCAAGACCUUGCGCGAAUGGAGCGGCCGAUGGCAGAUUAGGUAGUUGGUGAGGUAAAGGCUCACCAAGCCUUCGAUCUGUAGCUGGUCUGAGAGGACGACCAGCCACACUGGGACUGAGACACGGCCCAGACUCCUACGGGAGGCAGCAGUGGGGAAUUUUGGACAAUGGGCGAAAGCCUGAUCCAGCCAUGCCGCGUGCAGGAUGAAGGCCUUCGGGUUGUAAACUGCUUUUGUACGGAACGAAACGGUCUUUUCUAAUAAAGAAGGCUAAUGACGGUACCGUAAGAAUAAGCACCGGCUAACUACGUGCCAGCAGCCGCGGUAAUACGUAGGGUGCAAGCGUUAAUCGGAAUUACUGGGCGUAAAGCGUGCGCAGGCGGUGAUGUAAGACAGUUGUGAAAUCCCCGGGCUCAACCUGGGAACUGCAUCUGUGACUGCAUCGCUGGAGUACGGCAGAGGGGGAUGGAAUUCCGCGUGUAGCA